This 463-nucleotide ribosomal RNA is filed under the name uncultured soil bacterium. RNAcentral's name for it is "bacterial SSU rRNA". It matches the Rfam family "Bacterial small subunit ribosomal RNA", at positions 26 to 489 of the family's 1533-position model. The record is from RNAcentral.
AGAUUGAACGCUGGCGGCAUGCCUAACACAUGCAAGUCGAACGGGAGUAGCAAUACUCUAGUGGCGGACGGGUGAGGAAUACGUAGGAAUUUGCCCUUAAGUGGGGGAUAACCCGGGGAAACCCGGAUUAAUACCGCAUGACCUCGAAAGAGCAAAGUGGGGGAUCGCAAGACCUCACGCUUUUGGAGAAGCCUACGUCGGAUUAGCUAGUUGGUGAGGUAAUGGCUCACCAAGGCGACGAUCCGUAACUGGUCUGAGAGGAUGAUCAGUCACACCGGAACUGAGACACGGUCCGGACUCCUACGGGAGGCAGCAGUGGGAAUAUUGGACAAUGGGCGCAAGCCUGAUCCAGCAAGUGCCGCGUGUGUGAAGAAGGCCGUUCGGUAGUAAGGACACGUUUAAGGUAGGAAGUAAAAACUACGACUACUUAACACAGUAGAGUCUUAGACGGUACGACGAAGAA